UAAAAAUAUGGAUCCAAUAGAGUAUAAUAAAUAAGUGUGGGACUGAAUGAUUGAAUAUCCAAGUCAAGCACUGUGCUGCCAUGCCUAUAUAUUGGGGGAUUAAACACGUAGUGGGGUGUCCCAUUGAUGUGGGAUGGUUUCUGGUGGGUUAUCAUUGAUAACAGAUUUGUUUCUCCUGGCUUUUAGUAUCUCUGUACUUUCAGCGUGCCUUAUCUCUUGGGUGUUGUCUGUGGAUCUUGGCAGAACUGUAUCAUUCCAAAGUGUACUUGAAUUACAUUCAUACGCUUUUCUCGCUAAAGCUGUAGUGAGUUUGCCUUUACUAAUAUCUUCUUUACGUUCAUUUAUCCUACAUUUCAAGGAUCGAACCGUACUUCC
Molecule: long non-coding RNA, 375 nt
Filed under: Androctonus crassicauda
Lineage: Eukaryota; Metazoa; Arthropoda; Arachnida; Scorpiones; Buthidae
Source: RNAcentral